RNAcentral lists this long non-coding RNA (312 nucleotides) under Manihot esculenta (cassava). RNAcentral's name for it is "long non-coding RNA (MESC_LNC003378)". Lineage: Eukaryota; Viridiplantae; Streptophyta; Magnoliopsida; Malpighiales; Euphorbiaceae. The record is from RNAcentral.
UGUCCCUCUUGACCACAUCUAUAACAUCCUGUCAUGCCAACAAGACAAACUCCCUUAUGAAAUCUUCCACACCUCAAACAUUUUGGUCUAUCUAUACCAGAACUCGAAUCAACACCACCACCAGAACUAAGUUCUUUCCUAUUCCAAUAUUCUCUUUUCUUUUUCCCUUGAAGACCCCUAACCUUUUUCUUUUUAACUUUCCCCCACUUUGCUCCUUUCCAGGUAGCUGUACUCCAAGUGGAAGGAUCAUUUUCUCCUAUACCUGACAUUUUGGUAUCCUUGGUCUGAGCAUCAUCUAAAGACUCGUCAUCC